Molecule: ribosomal RNA, 1421 nt
Filed under: human gut metagenome
Description: bacterial LSU rRNA
Rfam family: Bacterial large subunit ribosomal RNA
Source: RNAcentral
CCCCCCCUCGAGGUCCAAGUCUUAAGAGGGCCUUAAGUCAGUAGGAGUAGACCCGAAACCGGGUGAUCUAUCCAUGUCCAGGUUGAAGCUGCCGUAAGAGGUAGUGGAGGACCGAACCCACAUCCGUUGAAAAGGGUGGGGAUGAGGUGUGGAUAGGGGAGAAAUUCCAAUCGAACCCGGAGAUAGCUGGUUCUCCUCGAAAUAGCUUUAGGGCUAGCCUCGAUACAGAUUUGCGGAGGUAGAGCACUGAAUUUCCUAGGGGGCGUCAAAGCCUACCGAAGAAUAUCAAACUCCGAAUGCCGCGUAAUCGAUUAUCGGGAGUCAGACUGCACGAGAUAAGUUGGGCGGUCAAAAGGGAAAGAGCCCAGACCUUCAGUUAAGGUCCCCAAGUGCGCGUUAAGUGGAAAAGGAUGUGGGAUUUCGAAGACAACCAGGAUGUUGGCUCAGAAGCAGCCAUCCAUUCAAAGAGUGCGUAAUAGCUCACUGGUCGAGAGGUCCUGCGCCGAAAAUGUCCGGGGCUGAAACGCGCCACCGAAACUAAGGAACCGAAAGGUUGGUAGAGGAGCAUUGCAUGCGGGAAGAAGCAGUACCGUAAGGAGCUGUGGACUGCAUGGAAGAGAGAAUGCCGGAAUGAGUAGCGAGAUAGAGGUGGGAAUCCUCUAGGCCGAAUAUCCAAGGUUUCCAGAGUAAAGCUGAUCUGCUCUGGGUAAGUCGGGGCCUAAGGCGAGGACGAGAGUCGUAGCCGAUGGACAACAGGUGGAGAUUCCUGUACUGCGGUAUGACAGAACUGUGGGGACACGUAAGGAAAGCGGAAGCCGGGAAUGGAAAGCCCGGUGCAAGCGGGGCACCAGUCACUUUGGCAAAUCCGGGUGGCAAUGGGAAGCCGUGAUGCGGAGCGAAAUAAAGUAGCGAAGUCCGUGAGCCAUGCGUCAAGAAAAGCCGCUAUCGUUUAUACCGUACCCGUACCGUAAACCGACACAGGUGGAUGAGGAGAGAAUCCUAAGGCCGGCGGAAGAAGCAUUGUCAAGGAACUCGGCAAAAUGGCCCCGUAACUUAGGGAUAAGGGGUGCCUGGGAAACCAGGCCGCAGAGAAUAGGCUCAAGCAACUGUUUAGCAAAAACACAGGUCUAUGCGAAACCGAAAGGUGAGGUAUAUGGGCUGACGCCUGCCCGGUGCUGGAAGGUUAAGAGGAGAGGUUAGCGCAAGCGAAGCUUUGAAUUUAAGCCCCAGUAAACGGCGGCCGUAACUAUAACGGUCCUAAGGUAGCGAAAUUCCUUGUCGGGUAAGUUCCGACCCGCACGAAAGGCGUAAUGAUUUGAGCGCUGUCUCGACAAUGCAUCCGGUGAAAUUGAAGUACCAGUGAAGAUGCUGGACGGUAUCGAUAAGCUUGAUCCCCCCCUCGAGGUCGACGGUAUCGAUAA